This is a non-coding RNA of Varroa destructor (honeybee mite), 7488 nucleotides long. The record is from RefSeq and is a predicted model, not a curated record. Lineage: Eukaryota; Metazoa; Arthropoda; Arachnida; Mesostigmata; Varroidae.
UCCUGUUCCAAUUUUGGCGGUACAAACGGCAGCAUCUUAAUCGUUUUAAUCCGACUAUUUGCCCCUGGUGACUUUGGUCUACAUUUCCGUUUCAUCGACCGUAAUGACCACAACUACGACUGUUGUGUGGUACCACACACGUAUCGACAUCCAUCCAUGGUUUCGCUCAACGUUCUCGAUCUCUUUUUACCUGCAGCGCUACCAGUAGUCCAUUUAAAGUGCAAUGUUUUGACCCAUCCUCGCGCCUCCAGCUGUCGAUGCCUCAGUGUGAGCCAAUACACCUCGCUUGCGCCAACGACGGGCAGAAACAGAAGGCGAGAGAUCGCAUCGUAGGGCCGCUUUCAAUGGUAUCUCUCGCGGACCCGUCUGUCGUCUGCUCCGGGGAUCUUCGUUAUCCACACAGCACUCCUCACCACGGCUCUGUGUGCGCCAGGGGUUAUCGUCAUAGUCGUCGAUGUGCUUGAGAAGUCAAGUGCAGGUUCAGCAGACUACAAAGAGACACCGAGCGAACGUGUGUGAUCAGGUGGUGCGGGACACAUCUGAUAUACCGUAGGCUGUGGUGGCAGCGGUCACUUUACGAAAUUACGUUAUAUUGCAGUCAGUUGAGAUUUGCAGGUGGAACGCUGUUGUUUUCGUAGUUGCUCGCUGCAAGGAGUACCUGACCGUCACGGUUCAAAUCUGCUCCCACAAGGCGAAGGAUUGUAACGGCAUUAGCAGCGACUGUAAUCGCUUGUGUGUGUAUGUGUUGCGUGUUUGUGUGAGGUGGAUUUGCCGUGGCUCUGUGGCUGUUAUUGCCUGCACAGUCUUCGCAAAAUGGAUCUUUCUGAACUUAUUGCGCCAAGGUGCAUGGCAGGCAGCAAAUAGGUACGAUCGAUCUUCUGUCAAUUUAGUCGUGUUUAAAGCCUUGUAUUGAAAAGACGUUUAUCGCUAAAAAUUCGGUAUUAUCUGCUGAGGUCAAAAAACUGCACGAAUAUAAUUUGUGUGGAAAAUAGAGAAAACCCUCGGAGGAGAGUUUAAGUACGUGCGUAUGUUUGUCAAAAGUUGUUUCUCCGUUGUGUCACGGAUUCCGACGGCAACCACGCUUGCCUGUAUAAUACGUAGGCGAACAGCUGCAGGUGAAGCUGUAAUGGACCCUUGCCGCGUUAUGAAAUAGCGAAGAUGAAAGCUGAAUCAAUGUCAAAUUCACUCUCGACCACGGGUUACACCUGACAUAUCUCCACAAGCGGAACCGAUAUUACGGGACUCGCUGUCUCCUAACCCGAUUCACCUAUAUGAAAAUUUUUAUAUACUUUCAUGUAGGGAAUCUUAAAAGUCACUUUGACCACAAACUGCAAUUUCUGUUUUGCCUACGUCUUACGGGCCUGUCGACGCAGCAAUCGACGUAUGUAUUGCGGGCCUCGGUAUGAAUGUUUAUACUUAGCAGCAGUGAAUGACUACGAACUUGGGGUGUUGGUAUCGUCAAACAAGAUUACCCCUCAGUGGUUUGCGGCAAUUUGAAGCGUCUUCCUCAUUGAAACCGCAAACGAGCCUGUGACUGGCUAAAAAAGACAGCACUCAGUGGUUAAGUGGUAAAGUGGUCCGCACCAGGUAGACACCUUUUAAACCUCGAAUAAGUCAGCUUACUUCAUGAUCAGUGGAUCGUCGUCUUGAGUCAUUGAAUUUUUUGAGACCUUCGACCCUGGCCGAAAUCCAGUCCUGCUCACAUGGCAUACCUGAGACACAGAUUGAGAAAGCGGGUGUAAUAAUGUCAUAGGGACGUUGUAUCCGGUUGAAUUAAUUAACACAACCUACACAUGAACGAUCAACUGAAAGCGGUAUCGAUGCUCGAUUAUGUUUGUUUAUCCGAAAAGGAUAAGCCCGUUAUUUGUCUAGAUAUACUUGAGUCCGAAGCAGUCCAAGAAAAGAAGCGUCUAUUGAGAAAUGCUUCAGUGCGGUUGAUGCUCUGGACUGAUUGAUAAUGAAUACACGAUCAUAGAUACGGAGCACAGCCUAACACAGGAAUAAAUUAAAAAAAAAAAACUGUGAUAACUAGGAGCAGCAAUUGCGUUAUCAGUAGUAUGCAUCACAUAACACGCAAGCACAGACACCCAUGCGUGCACCAACUUAGGUAUAGGUAGACAGUAAAAGAUACAAGGCUCAGGAAUAGCGGCAGAUGGUUGGCCCAACUUGAUGAGGACUCGAUGGGAAUCAAGGCACAGGGCAACGUCCACUUUAAUCGAAAACACAGCAAUUUUGACGAAAACUGUUAAUCGAAUUUGACAUCAAGUACUUAGUUUUGAAGAGACUCCACGAACACUGUGCACAAAUGUGCUGUAUUAAUAAACUGUGCUCUAGGAAGUGUUGUAAUUCGUUCGGUUUUGCUUUGUUUGUGACGUUGCCCGAAGAUGAUUGACUGGCCAUACCAACACGUGUUGGAAAUACCUUUAAUUGCGUAUGCGUGGUUAAGGUGAAAAGCUCAGCUGGAUCAGCAUGGAUUGCGUUGCCCGUGUCAAGUGGAAUGUGACUGAGUGUGAUUGUUAUGAUAUAAAAAUCUUGUUGUUGUGAUCUGAACAUACUGGCAGUAUUAUUUUGUUAUAGGCGAUAGGAAAAACAUCAAGCGGACGAGGAAGACUGUCAAUACUGUCAGGUGCGUCUUGUUAGUCAUACGAUCUACGGACCUUGGACUUGUUGUUUAAUCCAGCAGUUACCACCUCGUGCUGGCAAGAGCAUACUGUCUGACAGAGAAACGCGCAUAUCCGUCCAUUCUGCGUGGUUAGCUAGAUGAAAGUUGGAAAGACGCCUAAUGGAGUUGCGCUUAAAAGACAGAACCGCUGCGUCAGUCUGUUCGGUUCAGUUAGCGGAAAGUAUUUCGGACCGCCUGAAGCAGUCGGAGCUCAAUCGAGUGCCGGACGGACGAUAUGAAUAAAUUAACUGUUUUGCAUCUUAAAGGACAACCCAAGAUGUGACGGCCCAUGUAACACUUCACUUCAACGUGUUCUUACGUUGUUAAUUAAAACUAGUUAAUUCUUCGCAGCAACCCUGGCCAACAUUUCAUUCUGGGCCCGAAACAGAGGUCAGCGUUACUACGUUCCUCAUUCCUCCACACAAAAGCAAAACUCAAAAAAUUCUCUCCGUUACUUGCAUCAUCAUGUCACUGCCGAGCCGAGAAGGAACUUCAUCAGCGGUGCUAGAGUCUUCUUCAACGUACCGCCGAAACAGCAGUGACGACAUGGAGAUCCGAAGACGUUGUAUUACGGUGCUAAACAAUGAUCUCGAUGCUGACCUUGGCAUGUUUGACGACACAGUAAGCUGUUUGUCGGAUCCGCACGUGUUCGCGCCACCUGGAACGCCACAGGAAGAUGCUUCUGACGAUGAUACUAACCUGGACUCGGAUGACAUUGUCUCGUCGUCGGAUGUCGAUGGCUUGAACCUCCCGCAGCGUGCAGCCGAGCAGGCCGAACAACUCAUGCGAAAGGUUCUUGACGAAGCGGAGCAGGCUGAACAGCUCGUACUUAAGGUAUUGGAAGAGGCUUGGAAGGUGUGCCACUUUAGCUCGCUGCCUCAGUGGCUACAGGAUAAUGACUUCCUGCAUCGAGGUCACCGUCCACCCCUUCCGUCGUUCUCGGCCUGUUUCCGCUCCAUCUUUCGAAUUCACACAGAGACUGGAAACAUUUGGACACAUCUACUGGGCUGUUUGUGGUUUCUUGGCAUUGCCAUCUACUUCCUAGCACAGCCCUCGGAUUAUCUACAAUGGCAGGAAAAACUGGUAUUUGCAACAUUUUUUACGGGUGCGAUCCUCUGCAUGGGCAUGAGCUUUGCGUACCACACGGUAUCCUGUCAUUCCGAACAAGUUGGAAAACUUUUUUCAAAAUUUGACUACUGUGGCAUUGCGCUGCUAAUCAUCGGAUCAUUCGUGCCGUGGCUCUAUUAUGGUUUUUACUGCUCGUUCCAGCCGAAGCUCGUCUACCUAAGCGUCGUCAUCGUUCUCGGAAUCACUGCCGUUGUCGUGUCAUUAUGGGACAAAUUCGGCACUCCUAAAUACCGACCGCUGCGCGUUGGCGUGUUCACGGGCUUCGGAUUGAGCGGCGUGAUUCCUGCUGUGCACUAUAUCUACUCGAAAGGCUUAAUUUCAGCGUUUUCGCACGCCUCGUUCGGCUGGCUUUGCCUAAUGGCCUUCCUCUAUAUUCUUGGCGCAGCACUGUACGCCCUACGUGUUCCUGAGAGAUGGUUCCCAGGAAAGUGUGACAUUCUGUUUCACAGCCAUCAACUAUUCCAUAUUCUAGUGAUAGCUGCGGCAUUCGUCCACUAUCACGGAAUAACCGAAAUGGCUAUGAGCCGGCUUAGUAUGGGACAAUGCGACGAACUCGGGAACACCCCGAAGGUCAUCACGUACUAGAUAAAUGAGGGAGAAAGCAAAAAGAUUCGAGACAAUGGCCUCUCGCUCCAAUCGGAAGGACAGCGCCCGUCAACAACGAAAUUAACUGGAAGGAGAAAGACGCAUGUUCGGGGUCUUUUCACUGGUGAUCAUCUGGUCGUCACUGAUGAAACGAUGUGAAAAAGGAGUAUUGCUUCGUAGAAUUGCAUCAGCUCGAAAAACGAGGCUAUAGAUAAAUGGUGGCAAUACGUAGUUUUGAUUAGACACUACAGCGCUUAUGAGUGCUGAUGUGUUUGUGCUAAUCUGUGUUAUUCUUGCAUUUUGGUUUAAUCCUGACUAGUAGAGUUCGUGAGUCUAUUCUAAAUAGAUCUCAAUCUUCCAGAGGUCAAAAAAGGGUGGCUUCUCUAUGCAAAAUGUGUAUCGUCCAAGUUCCAUUAUUACCCGCAGUAACUUUUACUGAAAUAUUCAUUGCUCGAUGAGAUAUUGAGUUAGCUGUGAAAGUAUGUGGAUUAGGCAGUCGAAGAUGUCGAAACGAACUCACAGGGUCGAUCUCAGGUUCUACCUGACUCAGGUUCCACGUGAGGACCCGCGAUCGUCGUUCGGCUCCAAAUACAUUGAAGUUUGACAGCGCAACGUAACCACUUAUUGAGCUGAUUUUCGGGUCGAAAAAUAUCUGAAAUAAAAUGGCCUUUUGCCCGUCUAUUCCUCUUUAGAGCAAUUUAACCGUGGCUUUUUAUGUGAAAUUUUCGCUUCUCUACUUGAAAGAGAUAGAACUGACAACGACAUUGUAGAAGCGCCAACCCCUUUUAGGCCCAUGGGUGAAAAGUAUGUGAUACGUAGACAAGUAAUAAUGAUUUCAUACUAUAUUUUGUUAUUAUAUUAAUACCUCGUACAACUUGAAUGCCAACAGGCUAACACCGACCACACUAAAGAAGCGACUGUCCCAUGUAUCAGCUUUGCUAUGACUAGAAACACUGAAAUGAUGAAAUGGUGGCUUACAUCAUGUACACGAUCCGAGUGUGAGAGAGAGAGAGAGAAACAGUGACAAGAACCCUUUCAACACCUAAAAAGUCGCUACUUAUCGGUAGAACAAAAAAGCUCCUUGCACUUAAUACGCACCCAAAUAUUGAACAGUUAGUCACACUUCUACACACCCAUGAAAAAUACAGACAGAUACGCAUAGGAGUGACAUUUCUAUCCAGCUGCCCUUGGAGACCUGAUGAUGCGGUUAAUUUUGCAGUGAUUUAUUUACGUUAGUUCAAAUUGCUUACAUUUGGAUAAGCGCUGUGAGUGGUUAGGACAAAAACGAUAAACAGUUCAUACAUUGAAUAGAAAAUAUAUAUAUAUAUAUAUAUAUAAAAGGGAUCAAAGCAACGGACCUCGAUGAGCGGAGGAAAGGAAAAACAAAUAACAUAUUUUGAUAAGAUUAGUCAAAUAAUACAAGUAUGUUAUCCUAACGAGGACAGUAGAUGCUAUAAUCUUUAUUAUUAUAAGACUAUAAUUAUUAGCAGUCACUAGUAUAUGAUUUUACCUAUGAAGAAACUACCUUGUUCCUUAAGUGAUGAUGGAUAUCAGAGAAAACAAAGACAGAAUAAUCGUGAACAUUUUCAUUCAUUAAGUUAUAAAUGUAACCAGUAGUCGAGACAGAUGCUAUAUAGAAAUAUAUAAUAAAAAAUAUAUAGGAAGGUUCAUGCCAAGAAAUGUGGGUACUACGGAUUCGGGCGUGUAGCGGAGUCAGGCCAUAGGAAGCUGUAAUCAAUAUCUGAACGAAUUUUAAAAUAUUUAUUGGACAGAAGACAACGACAGCAAGCGAGGGGAAGAUAUACUCGAGAAGGACAUUAUACUGGAACGUUUAGACGUUAAGCGAAUCAAGUUAGUGUUAAAGCUACUCAGGUAUCACUCUCCGGUGAAAGUAAUAUGGGUUGGAUGUGGUUUAAUAGAUAUUUGUGUGAUGUUUUGAGCAAACAAGCUUUUUACGGGAGGAAAGCGAAAAGCCGGGUAGAAAAACUCAAGAAGUUAUCGACAGGUGGAAAGACGUAGGAGCACAGGGUAGUUUAAAAUUCGGAUUACAGUUAAUUUUUUUGAAAUUUCUGCUUCUCGAUCCUGUCAAACGAAUGAAUUAUUACGUAUCUAUAGGCCCAUCAACUGGUCGACAGUAUAGCGUUUUUAAACCACUGUGUGAAACAACGAGGAUAAACCUCUUUCGUUACCAGAAGUACACUUUAAACAUUCGUGCUGCUAAAAAAAAACUAUCAUUCUUACAUUGUCCUUAUGCCCUUUUCCACAGUAGCUUUCAAAUGUAUAUUCAGAUGCAAAAGGAGGGAGUUACUUCGUACCUGUCUACUAGCUCUACAAAUAACAGAUAAUGUUCUCGAAAGCUCCUAAGUGACAGAAAAUAAAAGCGAGUAAAAAUAAAAAAUCGUCUGCCCAAUGAUUUUCAUAUGUUCUCCAUUUGACGAGAGAAAAAGAUCACCAAAGAGAGAAAAAGCAAGAGAGCGGGAAAAUAAUUAUUUAGAUACUAUAUAAGGUGUAUUAACGUAGAGCUAAACAGAAACAAGCCUAAAAACGCUUUAGAUAGCUAUAACAGUAACCUAAAGAACUAUGAGGAAUUCAAUACGACAACCAGUGAUUUUAGCGGCGAAACAAAGAAAGGGUCAUGAAAAAAGCGCGUUGUCUGAUUCACGACUGGGAAGACAUUUCGCUGUUAGUAUUAAGAAAUAACCUCUGUCUAUUUAAUUGGACCUAAAUGCUCUGGACGAGAAAUGUGCUUGUUGUUGCUUGCAUGUUGAAGUCGUCGAUGAUAGCAGGUUCUUCGAAGGCGGCACAGACCUCGAACAGUUUAUUCCGUAAUGUAUACAUUACGGCGUGCCAGAUAAGCAAAUAGCAAUGCAGUGACAAUGCAGACGUCCGUAGAGUGAAAAUAAAUUAAGAGAAAAAUAACUAAAGUUACCGAAAAUGAUAAUCAUGAUACUAGUGAUGUUUUAAGGUGAUGAUUGUACAUUUUUAAACGUGACGAUCAUUGUGAUAGCGGUUGAACGAGCAACUGAGUGAAUACACGCGUGUAGUCUUUAUUACACAUUGAACAAUAAUUUUAAUAAAAAAAAAAAGGAACAAUGAUAAGUGGAGAUGAGUAA